CAUUCGCAACUCAGAUUGAAAAUCACAAAAGACGCUCUCUUUUUAUUUCACUCAGUUUCAACCCAUCCAUCUCCACCCUCUCCCCUUGUCAUCUCUAGCAAGAACUCAAGAGCCUUGGCUAUCUUUCAGAGCAUAGUCGUGUGGGUUCAUCUAUGUGAGGGUGCCAAAUCCAGAAAACCCUCAACAAAAUCAAAAUCACCAUCAGCUGCGGCUUCGUCGAAGAGACAAUCGGAUGCUCACCGAGAUCCGUCCCAACUCCGACCCCCCCGACUCAGAUGAGCUGACCCAGACGGAGUUCAACCCCAACACCACAUAGUCUCGCAGUUCCUGAGCUUGGUUAACGGUAAGCUUCGCGUUGUGCUCAUAACUGGGUCUCAGUGUGGGUAUUUUUGUGUUGAAAGUAAUUAAGAACAAAAGUGAUUAUUGCAGACUUCGUUGCCUUGUUCUGAGAUACUCAUCUGCGUCUGUUGGAGGAUUUCAGCGAGCAAGUCAAUCUUCAAGUUGGGAGCAGGUAUAAUAUCGAAUCCCUGCAUUUUUUUUUUUUGUAGAUCUGCAUUAAUUCAUGGGUCUUUCUGGAUUGUGAGAAUUUCUGCUUAUUUGUGUCUUUUGGUUGGUUCUGAGAGGAUACUCAGUUGUGUGGUGUCUGGCUAUGUGAUGUAAACUGAGUUGCAAAAAUUAACUUCUCAAAAUUAUAUAUAUGUGCUGGAUCCGCAACAGCUUCCCCCAAACUUGCAUCUUCGAGUGAGCUCAUCUGAAUUGCUUUAACUUCCAGUAUAGUGUAGAUGUGGUGAUGGUAAUGUAGACUUGCUGCUGGGUGCAUGAUUCCAGCUGCUGCUGGGUGCAAGAUUCCAGCUGCUACUGGGUGCAAGAUUCCAGUAUAGGAUUUUCUGUUUUUGAUGCUUGCUGCUGAUGGUUGUGUCCUGCAUUGAGUCAAUUAUGUGUUAGGAAUAGAAAGAAAAUAUAAACAACUAGAUAAAGAAAACAACAAAUUUCUCUGUUUUUUUGUUUUGAAAAUAAAAGAAGUAAAGAGUUUAGAAAAAUUGGGUUGCCUCCCAAUAAGCGCGCUAUUUUAAGUCUGUAGCUAGACUUUGCAGAAGCCUGGUGGUCAAAUCACUGGUUCCUUCAGAGUCAAAGACUCGGCUGCAAUGUCAAAGGGUGUCUCCAUGUAGGGUUUCAGCCUAUGACCAUUCACCUUGAACGUGUUGCCUUUAUCUUCAUUAGUGAUUUGAACUGCUCCAUGAGGAAAAACUUGAGUCACUAGGUAGGGUCCAGUCCAGCGAGAUUUUAAUUUCCCUGGAAACAACUUGAGCCUUGAACUAAAUAACAGAACCUUUUGCCCUGGCUGAAAUUCCUUCCGUAAAAUUUGACUGUCAUGAAAUGCCUUAGUUCUUUCCUUGUAGAUGCGAGAACUAUCAUAAGCACCUUGACGAAUUUCCUCUAGCUCAUUUAACUGCAAUUUCCGCUUUUCCCCAGCUGAGUCAUAUGCAAAAUUUAACUCUUUAAUGGCCCAGUAAGCUUUAUGCUCCAGCUCCAUAGGUAGAUGACAGGCUUUCCCAUAAACAAGUCGGAAUGGUGACAUCCCAAUAGGAGUUUUAUAAGCUGUCCUGUAUGCCCACAAAGCAUCAUUUAGUUUGAAACUCCAAUCCUUGCGUGUAGAGCUCACUGUUUUCUCCAAAAUACGUUUUAUUUCUCUGUUUGAAACUUCAACUUGACCAGAUGUCUGUGGGUGGUAUGGUGUAGCCACGCGAUGAUUAAUCCCAUAUUUUGCCAGUAGGUUAGCAAAUGGUUUAUUAAUAAAAUGCUUCCCCCCAUCACUAAGAAUAACACGCGGAAUUCCAAAACGUGGAAAUAUAACCCCCUGGAGGAACUUCAGGACCACUGAUCCUUGAUUAGUUUGUGCUGCAAUGGCCUCGACCCACUUUGAAACAUAUUCCACAGCCACUAAAAUAUAUUGGUGCCCGUUAGAAGAUGGGAAUGGUCCCAUGAAAUCAAUACCCCAAACAUCAAAUAGUUCAACAAUUAAGAUACUUUGCUGGGGCAUCUCAUUCCUUCUGGAUUGAUUGCCGACCCUUUGACACCUAUCACAUGCCUUGCACCAAUUCUGUGAAUCUCUAAAAAGUGUUGGCCAAAAUAACCCACUCUGUAGGAUUUUCUCUGCUGUCCUUUUCUGCCCAAAAUGUCCUCCACAAGCGUAGUGAUGAGCAAACUUUAAAACACUUUCCUGUUCAGCCUCCGGAAUACACCUGCGAAUAAUCUGGUCUGCACAAUACUUGUAUAAGUACGGUUCAUCCCAGAAAUAGUGCUUUACAUCAAAUAAAAACUUCUUUUUCUGCUGGUAGGAAAAAUCUGGAUGCACCACACCCUUAGCCAAAUAAUUGACAAUAUCUGCAAACCAAGGUGUGUCAAUUUUGACAGCAAAUAGCUGUUCAUUUGGGAAACUUUCACUCAAUGGUAGAGAAUCUGCCUCUGUAGCUGCUGGAAUAAUUAAUCUAGAUAAAUGAUCAGCCACAACAUUCUCACUGCCCUUCUUGUCUUGAAUCUCUAAGUCAAAUUCUUGAAGUAAAAGAACCCAACGAAUCAAUCUAGGCUUUGCAUCCUUCUUAGACAACAAGUAUUUUAGUGCAGCAUGAUCCGUAUAGACAAUUAUUUUAGCCCCAACCAAAUAAGACCGAAAUUUCUCUAGUGCGAACACAACUGCCAACAAUUCCUUCUCUGUAGUUGCAUAGUUAAGCUGUGCAUCAUUGAGAGUACGACUUGCAUAAUAGAUGACAUGGGGAAGCUUAUCUUUUCGCUGCCCUAAAACUGCCCCGACAGCAUAAUCUGACGCAUCACACAUUAGUUCAAGGCUACAAGGGUUAAAAUCACAUAAAAUACUUGCAAGAAUACAAGGCUAUUGUAGUAUAGAUGCUCAUGCAAGGUUGUUUUCCUCAAGGACUAAUUAGCAAUUUAAGUAAAAACAAAUUCCAAAUAACUAUUUAAAAUAAAAGGUCAAGAAAGAUGAUUAUGAAUUUGGUUGAUUCUAAAAACAAAUACAAUUGAAGGAAAGAGUUGUGAAUAUCAAUUUAUAAAAGCACUAGAGUUUCACCAUCACCUAGCAAUCCUAUGAACUUUUACCAAUUACUUAUGAUUUGCACAUGCCACUUUGAAGGUUAGGUUUUCCUAAUGUAUAUUCUACUUGGAACCUCCAACACAAAACGUAUAUCCAACAUGCAACCCGUCCGGACGUUCGGAUCAAAUCUGAACAUGAAAGACUCAUUAAGUUUUAUGAAAACCCUUUGAAAAACCAUGCAACCCUUAAGACGUGGUGUUCAUCUUAAGUGAAAUUACAAUUAUUAAUCACAAGAAGCUAGCAUCAAUUUCAGGGAACCUUCCGACCAAAAUUGCAUCCAAUUACUUUUCUAAAGAUCCUAAUGGUGAUCAGGCAUUAAGGCAAUUAGAUAGUUUAAAACAGUGAUUAACAAUUCAAGUAGGCAUGCACUCAUCAUAAGCAAUUAAAUAAAAAUCACAUAUUCAUGCUAAGGUUCAAGGCUUCACCCUAGCAAAAGAAAUUUAGUUACGCAUACUCAUAAUUGAAAUCCAAGAAAAUAUCAUUAAGAAGAAAAGAACGAAAACACCUGAAAGUUGUGAAAACCCAAAACCCUAGCAAUUGCUCUCCACAAUGCAAAGUUCAAAAGUCAAAAAGAAGUCCAUAAUUCCUUGUGAGAAAGAGCUUAAAUACCCCUUAAAACCUAGUUGCCAAUGUACAGCUUUUCCAUCCCCACAAGGAAACUAAUUAAAAUAAAAUAAAACUAGGAAAUAAAGUCCAAAUUGGAAUAGGAGAAUCUGCCCAAAAUCUGCCCAGCCACGUUUUUGCCCCAAAUCUCCUCCAAAUCUGGCCCAAGAUAGCUUGUUUUAAAGAUAAAAAUGUUUUGAACACUUCUCUAGAAGGCCACGAACCCAUUCGAGGUCAUCUUGUGCUCCAAAAAUGCAUUGAAAGCCCAACACGUCACUAUUCCAGCACCGCGCACUGCUCCUUUAUUUUAUUGCCAGAAAAUAACCGCUUGGAAGAAAACUCUAAAAUUUUGAUACGAUCAAGCUAAGUGACACAAGAACGUCCUCCAACUGGAAUUACUCCAAAAUUCCUCCAUUUGAUUAUGUUUUGCUCCAGAGAGAGUCGAAAGUCCUAUAUUGGAAAUAUAAUUUAAAGUAUCAAAAUUUUUCCAAAAUAUUAACCAAAAUAUACUAAGAAUAAGGUUAAAUAUAUAAUAUAAAAUAUGUCCAUCAGGUGGGUAUGCCAGUUUGGCUUCCCUAGGGCUGAUUGAAGCUUAAUGUUGUAUAAGCAUCGAAUAGUCAUUGUCAUGACAAUUGAGCAUGAGGCCCACAGAGGCAAUGGGUUUCUCAUAGAAACCAUAAGGGUCUGCUUGUAUUUAUACUGGUAAGAUCUGAGAUAAAUGUUCCAAGUGUUGAAGAAUAUAAAAAGGAAAAUAUUAGAGAGACCAAAUUUAGAUACUAACUUGUGCACUAUCUUUCUAAUAAAGCGUAGGACCCAUUAUAUUGGCCGUCUUCACCUCUAUUAGAGAGAUGAUACACAAGUUGGUAUCUAAAAUUGGUCUUCCUAACAUGACCCAAAAAGGAAAAUUAAAAUCAUAUAUAGUUUUUACUUUCCUUUAAUGUUUGACACCAUCUUUUAAAUUAUGAAAAACAAAUUGAAAGCUCACAUUUAGUUAUAUUUCCAUACACCUCCCUUUUCCUGUGUGCAAAAUUUUUAUGGAAGAUUGUAUUUUCUACCAAAAACAAAAUCAGAGCCUCUCUUCACUAUAAAUCUAGAGCAUUUCUCCAUUCUCAGAUCACCUCUUUGGGCUUCUAUUGAAUUGAGAAAUCGGUUUGAUUGUCCAUCUUUUUGAUAUAAUAAUAUAUUUGAUAAUAUAUAUUUUUGAUAUAUAGAUAUAUAUAAUAUAUAAGGCACGUGCAUUUGAUGUCUUCUCUCCUUUGUUUUGCCUUGUUGCCUCCAUUCUUCCUUGUUUAGGCGUUAUAACUCUUUCUUUCUUUUUUUUUCUUUUUGGUUAAUACUAGAGGAUUAGGCGAGGUUAGCUCCCCAAUGUUGUUAACUCUCUCGCUAUCUCUUUCUCUUCGUGAAAAUAUAUAGGAGUACUUCAGAGAGCAUUUCAUCGGUACUCUCCACCUCCAUACAAGAAAAGGUGCCACUUGUAGCAAGUGAAAAUAAUCAUUCACAUAAUUUAUAUAGAGAUGUUGCCAAUUUCUCAUAGGUUUUUUUAGUGACUUACUGGUCUGAUUGGUACAUAAGAAAAUUUUCUCUCUCAAAGAUUUAAGGUCCGAAACAUCAAAUCUUUCAAUCAUAGGUUGUUCUGCUGGCUUAGGGCCUUGACCAGUCACUCUCACAUAAUCGUUUUACACAAGUUCAAGCAAAGACAAAAAGAGUGCUGACGACGAUGAUUGGAGAUAUUUGGUCUCAUUUGAACUUUGCGAAUAUUUUUCUAAGGAUACAGAUAUUGAGAUGGUAAGUUUUUCUCUUUUUUUUAAAAAAAAAUAAAUAAAUUAAAUAUUCUUGAAAGAGAUAAAGAUAAAGAUAAAGGAAAUAUAUGAAAAUGUCAGCGAUGAAGGACGGUAGGGGAACGAUGGUAGGAGGGAGGUGGAAGGAUGUGUACGGACUAUUGUAGAAAAUGAAAACUAAAAACUAACAAUAACUUUAAGUUAUUUUUUAUUUUCUAGUUUUAAAUUUGUUUCAUUUUCAUUCUUUCACUAUGCAAUCUUGGUUUAUCUAUGCCUAGGCUGGGACGAGGGGAUUACAAGAUCAGCACCACAGAAUAGAAAAUGGAAUAAGUCUUCAUAUAUUGUUGAAUGUAGCAAUCAUAUUUUAGAGGUGAAUUGAGGACGUGAGCAUUCUUAAUUAAUUAAGGAGAUUUAUUUUCUUAAUUAGUUAAGGGAUUUACUUUCUUAUUUUAUAUAAUUGAUUAUCAUUGUAUACUUAAGAGAUAUAAUUCUAAUUGAUUACUAUAUCUAUUUCGUUGUAAAGCACCCUUGUAAAUUGUCACGACCCAAUUUGAACAUAAGGAAUAUUCCCGAAUCAUGAUGUGAGUCAUACUAUAGUUAUAAGAAUAAAAUACUACAACUAUGAUAUGAUGAGAAAUAAAGCCAAAAAAAAAAUACAAAUGUAACACCUCGACCCAAUUUUAAUUAUUCGUUUAAGUUAUUUAACUUAUUUAAUCAUGAAAUUACAAUUUUGGCCCUUGGGAUAUGGUCAUUUUGGUCACUUUUUAAUCUGAUAGUAUUUUGGGGAAAUGAAUGGCACUAUUGCAUAGAGCGCAUCGAUACAAGUUCGUAGACACGUAGUGGGCUCAAAUCAGAGUUUUAAUCAACAUCAUAUCAAAUCAUCACUUCUGAUGCAGCGAAGCAGCAAGAAGUUGUUGUCCAACUCUAUGUCCAUUUGUAAAUAUACAAGUAGUCAACAAGUAGUCAUCAAGUAGUGCUCUUUUCCUUGGUCUUUGUGAUCUUCCCAACUUUGUGUCCAUUUGUUCAUGGUUUUGUUAUGCUGGUUGAUUUUCAUUUGUGUUUUCUGGUGGCAGAACUUGCUGUUCUUGAGUUUCUUGUUCAAGUAUCAUUGGAUCUCUAACUAUUUCAUCUUCCU
RNAcentral lists this long non-coding RNA (6625 nucleotides) under Prunus dulcis (almond). Its description in RNAcentral is "sRNA ncRNA". Lineage: Eukaryota; Viridiplantae; Streptophyta; Magnoliopsida; Rosales; Rosaceae. The record is from RNAcentral.